UGUCAUUCCCAAGAUGAAUUGACGCUGUAUUGGCCGCAAAAGGAGGCCCUACACCAUACUAAUAAAUUAUUGUGGUCUAAAACCAGGUGUUUCAGUUUAAUUGUCCAACCCCUGUAGGUCAAUAUAGCCUUUGUUCUUUCAUUGUUAUUAGUGCCAUGAUAAAGAUGUCAUGUCCAAAUGUUAGACAGACAUUACUUUGUGACGAGCAGCAAAUUAACAAAAAAGUCAUUACUGGAUUUAUUUAUUUUUUUUGUGUGUGCAUGUUGAUAUUGACUUUAAUAUGAUUAUGUUCUUCUAUGUUCCGAGGCUAAGGUACCAUUUCAGUUAAUAGGAAUGGACCUUAUUGGAAAGUUGGUAAAAACCAAGCAAGGAAACCAGUACAUCUGCGUUAUUAUUGACUACUGCACGAGGUGGGUCAGUGCAUAUCCCAUUCCAACCAAGUCCGCUGCUGAUGUCACAAACUGCAUCUUGAAAUUUAUUUAUCAGUUUGAUGUUCUUAAACGCAUACUAACUGAUCUAGGCAAAUAAUUUGUCAAUUGACUUUGAAUUAAAACAUGUAUAAUUAAUCUGUACAGAUCAACACAGAGGUCUGCAAAAUAUUUGGAAUUGAAAGAAGUAUCUGUGUUGCCUAUCACUCACAAACAAAUGGGCUUGUGGAGAGGCUGAACGGCACUAUUCAGAGGUGAGCAAUAACAUACUACAAAAAAUGGCCAUACUACAAAAAGUGAAUGAACAGACUGAGGACAAAAGAACAGCUCACAACGCAAUUCUCACCUUUCAAGCUAAUGUUUGGCAGAAAAGCGAGCUAUCUCUGUGAUAUCCCAGAGCAUUAUGAAGUGACUAAACAAACACAGACUCAUCUUCAGUUUUACAUGUUGACUACGUAUUUCUGAACAUUAAAAAUCUAAUGAUCAUAAAAUGAUCCUAUUUUUAUUUUGUUAUAGUUGACUCUUGCUAGGUGGAUAGUUCUUUUGAAGAUUUCUUGCCAUACCACCUCCUGCUGCUGUAACACCCUUUUAUGAAAACUGUAAAUAUCUUAUAAACUUUAAGCAAAAGUCUGUCUUGUUGAACAUUGUCAAUAUAUUGUAACAUUUUUAAUAAAUCUUAAAAUGUUUUACAUAAAUGACAAUUAUAUAAUUUAUACACAGGCUUGAAGGAUGCAGGGGAUGACAAAAAUUGCCAAGUUUUGCUUGCAAAAAUAGGCCCGUACAAACUAUUUUAUUGGGACAUAGCCAGAACUUGCCCAAACCAAGAGCUUGAAAGUGAGGUGGAAAUGUAUUUAUGGUUAGUUAAAAUGAUUCAAUGUUUUAUCUGAAGCGCUGGAUAUCUUUCAAUAAUUUAACAAAGUCUGCACUGAUAAAAAAAAACUUAUUUGUUCUCUAGAUUCUUAAUGCAUACAUAGCCAAUGCAGUGAAAAAACAUAACUUGGGAGGAAACACAAAAGCUCUACACAUAGACUCUUUUGAGUGGACACGUAUCUGGGAAGGAAAGUCCUCAAGAUUCAAGUGUGACCCACAUCAGUACCAUCUUAUUUUGGGUGCAGUUCAUGAGCCUGGUCACUGGAUACUGGCAGCAAUCUACCAUUCACAGAGAAGGAGUGUUGUUUUGGACCCCAUGGGAAAUGACAGUUUGAAAAUAAAGCAAUGCUUAACUUUCACAAGGGCCUUCGUCAGAAAAAGAGGCUUGUCCGUAUCCAGAUGGACAGCAAGUACACUGCCCCACUCCCUUCAGAAGGACUCAACAUCCUGUGGAGUUUUUGUUCUCAAAGUAGAUUUGUCUUUUCUGUGUAAUUUAUGUGAAGGUCUUUUAUAACAGGAAAUCUUUGGUCCAGAUGUUAAUUUUAUUCUGAAACACCCCAUGAGUAUUGAUUUCAAAUGUGACAGAUGUGAAAUGUGUUUCAUGUAUUUCACAUGUUUAUAUGUUUUUUAUGUUUUAUCAUUAGUAUGCAGAAAAACUACUUGCAGAGGCAUCCCUGCAGUUUAGAAAUGACGUGUCAGCUGUGUCUCAAUUCAGAAAACAUAUUGCAUUUACGCUGAUGAUGGAGACCAGUAUUUUAAUUAAAUUUUUUGCUUUCUAGUUUAAAGUAAUGCAAUGACUAAAACUUUGAUGUAGUUUGUAAUAAUAUAAUUUAUUGUGAACUAUCUCUUGAUGAUCUUAGUGAGCUGUGCCACCAUUGUGGGGAGAAAACAACUACUGGAGACAAGCAGAAGAAACAACUGAAGAAAACGAAUACAUGGAUCCACUGUGAUGUAUGUGACCGGUGGUACCAUGCCAACUGUGUUGCAAAUCCGAACCCCAGCAGCUUGCUGAGAUGGAACCGUCUUUUCUUCCCUGUUUGUCAUAUAAUCAUUGUUGUUCAUUUUUAUGGUAUUUUUUUAUAUGUUUAUCUUGAAAAAUACCUUUUUAUUAUUACUGUCAUUACUAUCAUGAUUAUUAUUACUAUAACUGUACAGUUAUGAGGAAUUACUUUACAAUUUUUAUUUGGAAGAGUAGAUGUGCACUUACAUAAGAAAGAAAUACUUCUUAUUUUGUUUUUGAUCUUUUAAAGAUGAUUAGUUUCAAGUGAAACCUUUGACAGACCAUAUGUUUGAAAAUGUAACUUUUAAAUAAAAAGUACACGUUUAGUUGAAAUUCUGUAAUUUCCAAUGGCUUUGUAUUAUACUUUGCAGCAUGUAAACGGGUUAAUUGUACAUGAAGAAAAUUGAGUCAUAAUAUAAUCUAUUAUUUAUAGGUAUUUUGUUUUUACAUACUAUUUUCAGUAAGAGUUUUGAAAUAAGUUAUCAAAAGUAUUUUUGUGCUUUGUGGGAAA
Girardinichthys multiradiatus is the source of this 2809-nucleotide long non-coding RNA. RefSeq lists it as uncharacterized. Lineage: Eukaryota; Metazoa; Chordata; Actinopteri; Cyprinodontiformes; Goodeidae. The record is from RefSeq and is a predicted model, not a curated record. The transcript has 5 exons.